Aethalodelphis obliquidens (Pacific white-sided dolphin) is the source of this 714-nucleotide long non-coding RNA. RefSeq lists it as uncharacterized. The record is from RefSeq and is a predicted model, not a curated record. Lineage: Eukaryota; Metazoa; Chordata; Mammalia; Artiodactyla; Delphinidae. The transcript is spliced from 4 exons.
AGGGUUCCAGAAGCAACCAAACUGUCCAUGUGGCAACUGACAGCAUUGCUGAAUAUUUCCCCAUCAGUUUAUUCUGUUGCCCAUUGGAAGCCAUUGAAACUUCUGAAAACAGGAGUGGUGAUCUGAGCUGCACUUGACUAUUAUAUCCCUGGCAUCUGUGAAAGAUGGAUUGCAGAGAAAGGUUGGAGGCAGAGGGCCAUCCUGUACAUGCUAAGCAGAAGCUAUGGUCCUGUCUUCAUGGUGUGCUGAGCUCAGAGGAAGACGUGAAAUGAUUUGCAUAAGGAGAUUCAUUGACAAGAAAACUGCUAGAGUCCAAACUUGAGGCCCAGGACUGGAAAUGAAACAAAGGGCCCCCCAACAGGAGCUCUCCAUGGGACUGUGAGAUCCCACAAGGUAGGAACCUGAUCUUAUACAUUUCCAGAGCUCACAGCGAUUGACACCGUCAUCAUUAUCCAGGAGGUGUGCAAUUCAUCGGCCUAAAGUGAUCUGAAAUAGUCUGGGUGAGUUUGUGCUUGGCCCAGGGCUCCAUUCAUCACACAAGGAAGCAGCACAGGUAGUAAAGAACUAAAUGCUGGUUACAAACUCAAGGUAAAAUAUUUCAACCUUGUCAUAAAAAUUACAGACAUGUUUCCAAGCCCUUCUGUUUUCUUAUCUAUUUUAACCUCAGCUCUUGUAUAAUUUUACAGACAAAGGUAAUGCAUUUUCAUUUCAGCC